This 253-nucleotide ribosomal RNA is filed under the name uncultured bacterium. RNAcentral's name for it is "partial 16S ribosomal RNA". It matches the Rfam family "Bacterial small subunit ribosomal RNA", at positions 524 to 776 of the family's 1533-position model. The record is from RNAcentral.
UACGGGGGGGGCAAGCGUUGUUCGGAAUUACUGGGCGUAAAGGGCUUGUAGGUGGCCAACUAAGUCAGACGUGAAAUCCCUCGGCUUAACCGGGGAACUGCGUCUGAUACUGGAUGGCUGGAGUGUGGGAGAGGGAUGCGGAAUUCCAGGUGUAGCGGUGAAAUGCGCAGAUAUCAGGAGGAACACCGGUGGCGAAGGCGGUUCUCUGGGCAUUACCUGACGCUGAGGAGCGAAAGUGUGGGGAGCGAACAGG